AGGACGAACGCUGGCGGCGUGCUUAACACAUGCAAGUCGAGCGGAAAGGCCCUUCGGGGUACUCGAGCGGCGAACGGGUGAGUAACACGUGAGUAAUCUGCCCCUAGCUCUGGGGUAGCUCCGGGAAACCGGGAUUAAUACCAGAUACGACCACUUUAGACAUCUGCUGUGGCGGAAAGAUUUCGGCUAGGGAUGAGCUCGCGGCCUAUCAGCUUGUUGGUGAGGUAACGGCUCACCAAGGCGACGACGGGUA
RNAcentral lists this ribosomal RNA (253 nucleotides) under uncultured bacterium. RNAcentral describes it as "partial small subunit ribosomal RNA". It matches the Rfam family "Bacterial small subunit ribosomal RNA", at positions 26 to 285 of the family's 1533-position model. The record is from RNAcentral.